UACGUAGGGGGCGAGCGUUGUCCGGAUUUAUUGGGCGUAAAGAGCGUGUAGGCGGUUUGGUAGGUCCGUUGUGAAAACUCGAGGCUCAACCUCGAGACGCCGAUGGAAACCAUCAGACUAGAGUCCGGAAGAGGAGAGUGGAAUUCCUGGUGUAGCGGUGAAAUGCGCAGAUAUCAGGAAGAACACCCGUGGCUAAGGCGGCUCUCUAGUACGGUACUGACGCUGAGACGCGAAAGCGUGGGGAGCGAACAGG
RNAcentral lists this ribosomal RNA (253 nucleotides) under uncultured bacterium. Its description in RNAcentral is "partial 16S ribosomal RNA". It matches the Rfam family "Bacterial small subunit ribosomal RNA", at positions 524 to 776 of the family's 1533-position model. The record is from RNAcentral.